This 490-nucleotide ribosomal RNA is filed under the name uncultured bacterium. RNAcentral's name for it is "partial 16S ribosomal RNA". It matches the Rfam family "Bacterial small subunit ribosomal RNA", at positions 30 to 507 of the family's 1533-position model. The record is from RNAcentral.
AUUGAACGCUGGCGGCAGGCCUAACACAUGCAAGUCGAACGGUAACAGGAAACAGCUUGCUGUUUCGCUGACGAGUGGCGGACGGGUGAGUCAUGUCUGGGAAACUGCCUGAUGGAGGGGGAUAACUACUGGAAACGGUAGCUAAUACCGCAUAACGUCGCAAGACCAAAGAGGGGGGCCUUCUUGCCGCGUGCCAUGGGGUGUGCCCAGGUGGUCAUAGCUUGGAGGGGGGGUUAGGGCUCACCUGGGCGACUGUCCCUAGCUGGUGUGAGGGGCUGACCGGCCACACUGGAACUGAGACACGGUCCAGACUCCUACGGGAGGCAGCAGUGGGGAAUAUUGCACAAUGGGCGCAAGCCUGAUGCAGCCAUGCCGCGUGUAUGAAGAAGGCCUUCGGGUUGUAAAGUACUUUCAGCGGUGAGGAAGGGAGUAAAGUUAAUACCUUGACUCAUUGACGGUACCCGCAGAAGAAGCACCGGCUAACUCCGUG